GCUUUAUAAGUUUUAUCCACACAAACAGCUAAUCUUGUAAAUUAGAAGAACGGGGUUCAACCCCCCGAUAAAGCU
This 75-nucleotide transfer RNA is filed under the name Echinaster brasiliensis. RNAcentral describes it as "tRNA-Thr". It matches the Rfam family "tRNA". From Rfam's summary of the family: Transfer RNA (tRNA) molecules are approximately 80 nucleotides in length. The record is from RNAcentral. Lineage: Eukaryota; Metazoa; Echinodermata; Asteroidea; Spinulosida; Echinasteridae.